UAGUCAGUUACGCUGGUUAAAUUGCAUUGAUCCAUGAAUCUUUUUAAGAUAUACACACACACACACACACACAUUUGUCGCACACACAAAUUAGAAAUGAAGAAUACAAUAAUGAUGUACUGUUCUCUAAUCCAAAGACAAACAAGGAUUCCUGUACAACUCCAUUGAAUAGAACCACAAAUGAAGAUCUCAUUACUUAAUUCCACCAUAAGUAGAUUUAGCUCGUUUACCCUUAACUGGCUAAAUUGUAUUGAUCCAUUUAGUCUUUAAAACCAAUUUCAGUGUGUAAGGCGCCUUGAACUUGCGCAUUCUCUAUUAAAUGUAUGAACUAACAUUGAGUAUUUAGUUGCAGCAGAAAGAUUCAGUGAAGGAUAUAACAUAAUGGCAAU
Molecule: unclassified non-coding RNA, 389 nt
Filed under: Hevea brasiliensis (rubber tree)
Lineage: Eukaryota; Viridiplantae; Streptophyta; Magnoliopsida; Malpighiales; Euphorbiaceae
Source: RNAcentral